RNAcentral lists this non-coding RNA (28 nucleotides) under Rattus norvegicus (Norway rat). Lineage: Eukaryota; Metazoa; Chordata; Mammalia; Rodentia; Muridae. The record is from RNAcentral.
UCUGAUGAUGCUGUAGGAGACCCCCAUC